CAGCAGCCGCGGUAAUACGGAGGGUGCAAGCGUUAAUCGGAAUUACUGGGCGUAAAGCGUGCGUAGGCGGCUUCUUAAGUCGGAUGUGAAAUCCCUGAGCUUAACUUAGGAAUUGCAUUCGAUACUGGGAAGCUAGAGUAUGGGAGAGGAUGGUAGAAUUCCAGGUGUAGCGGUGAAAUGCGUAGAGAUCUGGAGGAAUACCGAUGGCGAAGGCAGCCAUCUGGCCUAAUACUGACGCUGAGGUACGAAAGCAUGGGGAGCAAACAGGAUUAGAUACCCGAGUAGUCCAUGUCUCUUAUAA
This 301-nucleotide ribosomal RNA is filed under the name uncultured bacterium. RNAcentral describes it as "partial 16S ribosomal RNA". It matches the Rfam family "Bacterial small subunit ribosomal RNA", at positions 509 to 809 of the family's 1533-position model. The record is from RNAcentral.